Molecule: long non-coding RNA, 192 nt
Organism: Dioscorea cayenensis subsp. rotundata (Guinea yam)
Lineage: Eukaryota; Viridiplantae; Streptophyta; Magnoliopsida; Dioscoreales; Dioscoreaceae
Exons: 3
Source: RefSeq, a predicted model, not a curated record
UAGUUGAAGUUGAUAACAAUGUCACUCGUCAUUUGGAAGCUGAGCUUGCUGCUAAUGACUGGAGUCUUUUGAUUCUUCAAUAUCUUGGAUUAGAUCAUGUUGGACACAUUGGUGGGAGCCAGAGGGCCUGAGUAAUAGAUGCAACAUGGAAGUUGUGGAUCCUAAAGGCCUACGUCUGAUUCCAUGUUUAAG